Lathyrus oleraceus (garden pea) is the source of this 107-nucleotide small nucleolar RNA. Lineage: Eukaryota; Viridiplantae; Streptophyta; Magnoliopsida; Fabales; Fabaceae. The record is from RefSeq and is a predicted model, not a curated record.
AUUCCAUGAUGAUGGCAUUGUCUUAGCAGCUCCUUAAAUCUUUCCUAAGAAUUAAACAAUGAUUCAUCUUCUCGUUAUUUAAAUGAGGAAAUUUCAUUCCUCAUUUU